GGCAGAUGAUGUCCAUUCUCACGAUGGUCUUCGGAUGCCACAUCGCGUGGGCGCUGGCGACGCCGCCGAAAGGCUCAGCUGAUGCCAGGGG
Small nucleolar RNA from Tachyglossus aculeatus (Australian echidna), 91 nucleotides. RefSeq annotates it as small nucleolar RNA SNORD35. NCBI's taxonomy places the organism in Eukaryota, Metazoa, Chordata, Mammalia, Monotremata, Tachyglossidae. The record is from RefSeq and is a predicted model, not a curated record. The transcript has a single exon.